This is a long non-coding RNA of Pelmatolapia mariae (spotted tilapia), 908 nucleotides long. RefSeq lists it as uncharacterized. The transcript is spliced from 4 exons. The record is from RefSeq and is a predicted model, not a curated record. NCBI's taxonomy places the organism in Eukaryota, Metazoa, Chordata, Actinopteri, Cichliformes, Cichlidae.
CUACAGAUUACCAGUUCCCACAACACAGCUGGCCAAGAUUUCCAAACUGCUUUUAACACUGGAAAAAGGACAUCUUUCCCAGAUCCAGGGGAAAUCACUGGAUGAGAUCGAAAUUGAAGAUGAAAUUGCAUUAAGUGAUGCUGAAACAAAGGACAGUGAGAGUGAAUCAGAUGAUGAUGACACAGCACUCACAAUGUCGGCGUGUGGCACCAGUGAGCCUGUACAUGCAGUAGCUGAUUCCACAAACACAGCGCAGCUCCAAGACACUGUAGAUUGUGCAGAUGAAGAACCACUCAUAAUGCCUGCAGCAAGUGAGACUGCUGCUCCCUCUGAAGAUAAAAAUGCUGCUCAAUCCCACAAUUCCCGAAGAGCUCCCAAAAACAUGUGGUCCAAGGCUGAGGUUGCUGCAGUGAUGAGGCAUUUUAAAGACCACAUAAACGAAGGGAAACUGGCCACCAAAAAUGAAUGCAGUCAUUGCAAAUUGGUAGAAGAUCCGAUGUUGGCAGGAAGAACAGUUCAAAACAUAAGAGAUUUUGUAAGAAACAGAGGAUUAACUGCAAAAAGGCAGAAAAAAAUGAACUAAAAUAACUGUUUAGCCAGAUGUGGUUUUACAUCUUGGUCAGAUGGCCAAACUGUUGUUAAAACUGAGUUAUUGUGCAGCAGGCUGCCUGAUGUUCUGUUUAAAAAAAGUUCUUGUUAAUUACAGAAGUAGUUUGUAUUUCAUAAUUUUUUUAUUUAAUUUAUUUAGUUUUUUUGACAGGUUCUUAUUUUAAUAUAUUUUUUUUGACAGGUUAUAUUUAAAAUAAAAAAAUAUAAAUGCAUAUUUUCUCCCCUUAAUAUUUACCUUUAAACUUCUAUAUUUUUAUAUUUCUGUGGUUAGCGUGGGCAUUUUUGUCCAUAGGGUUAGG